CGGAGGGUGCGAGCGUUGUCCGGAAUCAUUGGGCGUAAAGGGCGCGUAGGUGGCCCGGUCAGCGUGCGGUGAAAGCUCGGGGCUCAACCCCGAGUCGGCCGUGCGAACUGCUGGGCUUGAGCACUGUAGAGGCAGGCGGAAUUCCGGGUGUAGCGGUGGAAUGCGUAGAGAUCCGGAAGAACACCGGUGGCGAAGGCGGCCUGCUGGGCAGUGGCUGACACUGAGGCGCGACAGCGUGGGGAGCAAACAGGAUUAGAUACCCUGGUAGUCCACGCCGUAAACGAUGGGCACUAGGCGCUUGGGGGAGCGACCCUCCGAGGGCCGGCGCUAACGCAUUAAGUGCCCCGCCUGGGGAGUACGGCCGCAAGGCUG
RNAcentral lists this ribosomal RNA (372 nucleotides) under uncultured organism. Its description in RNAcentral is "bacterial SSU rRNA". It matches the Rfam family "Bacterial small subunit ribosomal RNA", at positions 526 to 896 of the family's 1533-position model. The record is from RNAcentral.